RNAcentral lists this ribosomal RNA (238 nucleotides) under uncultured bacterium. RNAcentral describes it as "partial 16S ribosomal RNA". It matches the Rfam family "Bacterial small subunit ribosomal RNA", at positions 524 to 761 of the family's 1533-position model. The record is from RNAcentral.
UACGAAGGGGGCUAGCGUUGCUCGGAAUCACUGGGCGUAAAGCGCACGUAGGCGGCUUUCUAAGUCAGGGGUGAAAUCCUGGAGCUCAACUCCAGAACUGCCUUUGAUACUGGAGAGCUUGAGUCCGGAAGAGGUGAGUGGAACUCCGAGUGUAGAGGUGAAAUUCGUAGAUAUUCGGAAGAACACCAGUGGCGAAGGCGGCUCACUGGUCCGGUACUGACGCUGAUGUGCGAAAGCG